Molecule: unclassified non-coding RNA, 200 nt
Filed under: soil metagenome
Description: partial contains internal transcribed spacer 2 and large subunit ribosomal RNA
Source: RNAcentral
AGCGUCAUUGCACCCCUCAAGCGUAGCUUGGUCUUGGGCUCUCGUCUCUGCGGACGUGUCCGAAAAUGAGUGGCGGUCGAGUAUGACUUCAAGCGUAGUAAAAUACAUCCCGCUUUGGAAGCCUCACGCUCUUGCCUGCCAAAACAUAUCCAUAUUCAAUGAUUGACCUCGGAUCAGGUAGGGAUACCCGCUGAACUUAA